This 24-nucleotide non-coding RNA is filed under the name Arabidopsis thaliana (thale cress). The record is from RNAcentral. Lineage: Eukaryota; Viridiplantae; Streptophyta; Magnoliopsida; Brassicales; Brassicaceae.
CGUUGUGACGCCAAUUCUGGAAGC